CGAUUAGGGUUCGAUUCUGGCUCAGGAUGAACGCUAGCUACAGGCUUAACACAUGCAAGUCGAGCGGUAUGUGCUUUAGUGCAUACAGCGGCAGACGGGUGAGUAACACGUAUCUAACCUUCCCCUUACUUGGGCAUAGCCUCUGGAAACGGAGAUUAAUUUCCGAUGUGGUGUACAUUUCGCAUGUUUUGCGCACCAAAGAUUUAUCGGUAAGGGAUGGGGAUGCGCUCCAUUAGGUUGUAGGUAGGGUAAUGGCCUACCUAGCCUAUGAUGGAUAGGGGUUCUGAGAGGAAGGUCCCCCACAUUGGAACUGCGACACGGUCCAAACUCCUACGGGAGGCAGCAGUGAGGAAUAUUGGUCAAUGGCCGGAAGGCUGAACCAGCCAAGUAGCGUGCAGGAUGACUGCCUUAUGGGUUGUAAACUGCUUUUUUACGGGAAUAAUUAUGAUCACGUGUGAUUAUUUGCAUGUACCGUAAGAAUAAGGAUCGGCUAACUCCGUGCCAGCAGCCGCGGUAAUACGGAGGAUCCUAGUGUUAUCCGGAUUUAUUGGGUUUAAAGGGAGCGUAGGCGGGAGGUCAAGUCAGCUGUGAAAUGUAUCUGCUUAACGGGUACACUGCAGUUGAAACUGGUUUUCUUGAGUGCGUAAGAGGCAGGUGGAAUUCGUUGUGUAGCGGUGAAAUGCUUAGAUAUGACGAGGAACUCCUAUUGCGAAGGCAGCUUGCUGGGUCGUUACUGAC
RNAcentral lists this ribosomal RNA (738 nucleotides) under uncultured bacterium. Its description in RNAcentral is "bacterial SSU rRNA". It matches the Rfam family "Bacterial small subunit ribosomal RNA", at positions 1 to 744 of the family's 1533-position model. The record is from RNAcentral.